Molecule: long non-coding RNA, 903 nt
Organism: Eriocheir sinensis (Chinese mitten crab)
Lineage: Eukaryota; Metazoa; Arthropoda; Malacostraca; Decapoda; Varunidae
Exons: 2
Source: RefSeq, a predicted model, not a curated record
UGGUGGUCACCUCCCCAGCAGAGUGAGCAGACGGACCACGUGUGCCCCAUCCCCAAGUCACUGUCCGCGGGCAAAUGGCAGGACCUUCAGCAUCAUUUGUGUCGUGGAGAAAAACGCGGUGGGCCAGGAGGACGCCUCCUGACAAAGGCCCGUGGUGUGAGAUGUCCAAUUCCGACAUGGUGAAGCUGCAGUGCUGCGGGACACUGCAUCGCUGCAAGGCUUUGGUGGGCACAUUCGAGCAGGAGUUUGGGCUUGACAAGUGUCCCGAUGAAAAGUGGAAAGUCAUGGUCCUCAAACUUAAUCUCAAGCAAGCUGAAGCACCUGCCUGUCCGUCUAUGCAGCACUAGCCACACAGCCCGUGAUCUAGGCCAUAGAGUACGUUGCAAAUCAGUAGCGCAGAUGUGUGGGCGUGGCAGGGGUGUUAUUUUAAUACAACGAGGAGGCAGCUAAGGGAAAAAAAUAAACUAAAGACAAAUAAAGCCCCCUAAAUACUACUAUUAUGAAAGAAAUUAAACAGAAUGGUCAGAGAGACAGCAAGAACAUUGCCACAUCCCAACCUUCACAGCACUGGUGACUGGCCUCCCUCACCCAGCAGGCCAGCACCAACCUUCAUACAGCGAGGAGACAGCUAAGGGGAAAAAAUAAACUUUAAGACAAAUAAAGCCCCCUAAACACGUACAGCUCUUAUGAAAGAAAUUAAACAGAGUGGCCAGCAGAGAGGUCAGUUUCAACCCAUUUAUGUUGCGUGACUAUAGUAUCUACACUGGCAGAGGAAGGUGGUGCUCUGCUAGCUAUUACCGUCUCGAUUAUAGAGAAGGCCUGACACCUUGCUGGAUUCUUUGCCGAUGAGUCAUCCAAGUAAGGCCGAGAGUGUCCCGCGCUCUCCAAUAAAAUGUUAUUUUA